Mytilus californianus (California mussel) is the source of this 3028-nucleotide long non-coding RNA. RefSeq lists it as uncharacterized. The record is from RefSeq and is a predicted model, not a curated record. The transcript has 2 exons. Lineage: Eukaryota; Metazoa; Mollusca; Bivalvia; Mytilida; Mytilidae.
UAUAUAUUUAUUUCUAUAUAAAAUACUUGCCUUUGCAAAAUAUUUUUAGAUAUAGAUAAAAAAUGUUGUGUACUGCAGACAAGAAUUAUUUGAUGUAGCUUUCUUAAAAAGUGUUUUGAACACAUGAAAUUUAUAAAGUGUUGUUUUCAUUUUUUUUUCUUGUUGAUACACAUACUUUUUACGUACAAUUUUUUAAAGAAUCUAGCCAACACUCUCACAAAUUUAUGGUGGAGGAGUCCUCCAGGAGGACAUAAUUUGAUUAGGAAAUGUUUUCAUUGACUGUAUUUCACAGUAAAAUAUUGUCACUCUUACACAGUACAUGUAUUUCACAACUAAAUAUUGUCAAAUGUCUGACCAAUUGCCCAAAAUUUCAAGGAGAAAGACACUAUUUCAUAAUGAAAUAUUGUCUGUCCUGGGCAAUGUUUCACAGUAUUUCAAUAUAAAAUAUUGCCAAGCCCAGUGGGAAAUAAUGGAGAACUCUGGGUUUUUCUGGUUAAUAAUGGACAAUACUGUCUAAAUAUGAUUAACUGAUAAACUGACCUGAGUCAUGACUAUUUUAUGACAUUGAAAUUAAUAAUUAAAUGAUCAAUUACAAAUGCAAUACCUAAAUGAUAUUAAAUAUAUUGUACAUGAACUUUUGAUCAAUGAUGUCCACUUUGUUAAGUGUUUUAUAAAUUCUCUUGUCCAUUGAUUUUAUUGGAUAGUGUAUUAAUGUGAGUGAGUACCAGUCCAACACAUUUACAUUACAUUACAUGUAUAUGUACAUUGUACAUGGACUCACCUGAACAAAUGUCAUGAAUUGUAAACUAUUCUCUUAAUGAUGUGAUUUAUGCAUAAUCCUAUAAAAAUAUAUAACAUUGUCCUUCUGUCUAAAUACUUAAGACUGAACAUGAUGCCAAAGAUCCAAUUUUGGUACAUAGAAAGUAUCUAUUGCAAGAAUACCAAAAUUCUGAUGAACUUACUCCUAUGGACAGACAGGAACAAUAAAAUCUUGGAGAUUCAGAUUCACAACCUGGAGAUAAAUGUACAAACCUACGACUCCAGCAAAGAGGAAAUGUCCUGAUUAUGAUUGUCAGGACCAUGACCAACUCCCAAAUGCUGAGUAACAUGUUUGACAGAAACUUGGGUGGAUUUGGAGUGACAUGUUCAAUUAGAUGGAGAAUUAGUCAAAAUUAUUUUUUGCAUGCAUUUCGUCUUUCAAUAUUGCUGAUACUGCUACAUUAUGUGGCAAAAAACUAUUGAAAUAUAUGGAGACAAGGGUACAUGCACGUUUUGUACUUUGGUCCUUUGUGUAAGGACAUCAUGGACAUUGGCGAUUUUCUCUUUGAUAAAAGACAUGGUAUGGUAACAAAAGAGAUGAAAUCAAAUUUAAAGACUUUGCUUUAGUUUAGAGUGGAAGGUGUAGCAUUCAUAUCAAUUGCUUUAGAUAAUCAUUGGGGAGGAAAAUUAUACUUCUUGUCAGCAGUUAAAACUGGUACAAACAAGAAAACUACACCAUAUUGUACUUCCUUCAAUCAAUGAUGCUAAAGAACCAUUUGAAUGUAAUAUAUCUGGGGUAGCAUCUGACAAUGAGAAAAUGAUGCAGUUUAUGAAGACAAAUAUCAAAGAGGCUAAAUGAAGAGUUGAUCUGCUGCCAUUCAGCUUAAAUUCUGUGUAGAUGUACCUUGGGAAAUUAUUUGAGUCAAAUCAGAUUACAUCUGCAGAAGACAUGCUUCGAGCUUUUGUUAGACUUUUUGAAAUUAAUGUGUUAAGACAAAAUUCUUUUGACUCUAAAUAGUUAGUCUACCAUAAUGAUUUUAUGCAACACAUGUUUGGUGAAAGGGGGUCAAUAAAUUAAAUGUACUGAAUCUAUUACUGUUUUGUUAUUCAGUUAUGCAAAUUUAGCAUGCCAAAUAGUUUUGCUGCCAUCAAACAUAUUAUUUCAACUUUUGAUUUAUUCAGACUAACUUGAUACAUAUACCAGGCAUUCAAAAUGUACAAAACUGGAAAUCUGUAAUAGGACUAAAUUGAAUGGUCUAAUUUCUCAUAAUGUUUAUUUCUAUAAAAUGUAUACUUUAAAAAACAACCAUGAAACCACAAUAUGUCUAAAUUAAUAACUAUUUUGAACAAAACGUAGCAUUACAAACUGUGCUAAAUGCUUUAACCUGACCAGCUUAGUAAUAAAUUAACAGCCUAUUUUAGAUCCAAGUAGAUUAUUAUGCGCUUGUGACUGUAGAUGCAAAUGUACUGACAAUUGCUUUAAAGUAGCAGGGAUGGGGUAAUUGAAAAUGUAAUGGUAAUUAAGUGUAAUGCAUUACAAUUUUACAUGUAAUUGAAUGUAAUGUGUAAAUGAGCAUUUUUUCAAAUUACAUGUAAUGGUAAUUUAAUUAAUUACAAUGAAAAAAGCAUGUAAUGCUAAAUUACUUUUGAAUUACAUUUCAAUUACAUGUACUUUUAUGGUGUUAAUCAUGUUAAUGAUAAGAAAUUGUGUUAAUAUAAAUAUUAUUUAUUUGACAUACAGAAAUGUUUUCUGAAUAGUCUUAUAACUUUAAAAAAAUUGUGAGAAUCAUAUAUUGGUGUUGUUCAGUUUUUAAGAAACAUCUUUAUCUAAAUAGAUUGAUAACAUGUAUAUAUUCAUAUGAUCAAAAUACAUGUAUGUAUUGUUAAACAAAUGUAUAAAUCUUUCUUAGACAGUUCAUUUAGAAUUUUAAAUCACUGCACACAAUUAUUUUGUCAAAUUAGUAUACACAAAAGGAUUAUAGAAAUAAAAAUUAUCAGCUGUAAAAACAAAUGGCAAUUAAUCAGACUAAAUGUGUAAUAAAACAGCCUAGGGACAAUGCCACUAUUACAUGUAUUUUAUCUAAUUAGCAAAAUAUUGCUAAUAUUGAGACAUUAUACAUUGUUUGUGCUAAAAAAUUAUUUUCAAUCUAGUGACAAGCAUACUUUUGAAUAAUCAUGAUAAUUGUAAAGUAAAAAACAUGGACAAUUUUUUAAUUUAUUUAUAAUUUAUUUAUUUGUAUUAUGUUUAAUUAAAUGGCUUCAUUUCUGA